RNAcentral lists this long non-coding RNA (229 nucleotides) under Phaseolus vulgaris (common bean). Its description in RNAcentral is "long non-coding RNA (PVUL_LNC000753)". Lineage: Eukaryota; Viridiplantae; Streptophyta; Magnoliopsida; Fabales; Fabaceae. The record is from RNAcentral.
AACAGCCAAAACAGAUUUGUGAAAACAGGGGAUUCUGAAAUCUGGAAUCAAAAACAGAAUGAUAUACCAACAAAAACACAAUGGAAAAAUGUGAUGGAAUUUGUGUGGAUCUAGCACACAAAUAAGAACUCAAAAUAAAAUUAAAAAAAGCACCAAAGGAUCAAAACAAAGCAGAUUUCAGAUCAAGCAUUCAAACAAAAAAAACAAGAAACAAAUAAAUCAAGAAGAG